This 374-nucleotide ribosomal RNA is filed under the name uncultured bacterium. RNAcentral's name for it is "bacterial SSU rRNA". It matches the Rfam family "Bacterial small subunit ribosomal RNA", at positions 28 to 402 of the family's 1533-position model. The record is from RNAcentral.
GACGAACGCUGGCGGCGUGCUUAACACAUGCAAGUCGAGCGGUAAGGCCCUUUCGGGGGUACACGAGCGGCGAACGGGUGAGUAACACGUGGGUGACCUGCCCUCAGCUCUGGGAUAAGCCAGGGAAACCGGGUCUAAUACUGGAUAUGACUCCAUGACGCAUGUUGGUGGGGUGGAAAGCCUUGUGCGGCUGAGGAUGGGCCCGCGGCCUAUCAGCUUGUUGGUGGGGUGANGGCCUACCAAGGCGACGACGGGUAGCCGGCCUGAGAGGGCGACCGGCCACACUGGGACUGAGACACGGCCCAGACUCCUACGGGAGGCAGCAGUGGGGAAUUUUCCGCAAUGGGCGAAAGCCUGACGGAGUGACGCCGCGU